AGACCGGCUUACUGGUCGUGCUAUUGUACGUACUGGUAUAAUCGGUUUCUCCUUUCUGACGAACUAUAAUGCCAUUAACUUGGUGUUUUAGGGAAUCAGGACUGUUACUUUGAAAAAAUUAGAGUGUUUAAAGCAGGCUCGCGCUUGAAUACAUUAGCAUGGAAUAACGGAAUAGGACGUUUGAUUCUAUUUUGUUGGUUUCUAGGAUCGACGUAAUGAUUAAUAGGGAUAGUUGGGC
Molecule: ribosomal RNA, 238 nt
Filed under: uncultured Glomeromycotina
Lineage: Eukaryota; Fungi; Glomeromycota
Description: partial 18S ribosomal RNA
Rfam family: Eukaryotic small subunit ribosomal RNA (bases 46-238)
Source: RNAcentral